Molecule: ribosomal RNA, 260 nt
Filed under: uncultured Planctomycetota bacterium
Lineage: Bacteria; Pseudomonadati; Planctomycetota
Description: uncultured planctomycete partial 16S ribosomal RNA
Rfam family: Bacterial small subunit ribosomal RNA
Source: RNAcentral
AAGCGGUGGAGCAUGUGGCUUAAUUCGAGGCUACGCGCAAAACCUUAUCCCGGGCUUGACAUGCACGGAUUAGCCGGCGGAAACGUCGGUCAGGCCGCAAGGUACAACGUGCACAGGUGCUGCAUGGCUGUCGUCAGCUCGUGUCGCGAGAUGUUGGGUUCAGUCCCGUAACGAGCGAAACCCCUGUGACUAGUUGCCAGCACGUCAUGGUGGGCACUCUAGUCAGACCGCCGGCGUCAGGCCGGAGGAAGGCGGGGACG